CAUUAAAUGGAACUGCAGUGGUUCCCAGGACAGAUUCAAUCGAGUUAUUUACAUUUGUGAGCAUGGCAGUAGUUUUAUGAGUAGAACCAUUAUUCAAUACUUGAGAAUGAUCCAUUACACCAGGCAGAUUGUGAUUUUUCCAGGGUGUCAAUUUUGUUGGCUCUUGACUCCAACCUUGGUAUGGCCCCUCAUACAUCUGUAACUUUUCCUGUAAAAACUGAAUGUACUCUAUGACCUCUAACAAGAAUGAAGCCUUAUCUCUUUUCUGAUCAUUUUGAGGUAUAAGAUCUCUCAAAAUCUGGAACCUCUCAUUAAUCUUGCUCCUUCUACGGUGCUCUGUCUCCGAAU
This 348-nucleotide unclassified non-coding RNA is filed under the name Hevea brasiliensis (rubber tree). Lineage: Eukaryota; Viridiplantae; Streptophyta; Magnoliopsida; Malpighiales; Euphorbiaceae. The record is from RNAcentral.